AUCUCCCUGGGGAGUUCGUGAUUGAGGAACGAUUUUUGAGCCAACACUUCCAAAACGGGAGCGGCUUUCAGACCAGCCCGUGCGCAGACCCGCUCGACCGGGGAGCCUGACGGCAGGCACAGUUGCACCCACCUUGCACAUGCAAGGUUCAAAAGAGUUCCCGACACGGCGCCCCGGGGUAGAU
This 184-nucleotide non-coding RNA is filed under the name Desulfobaculum xiamenense. RNAcentral's name for it is "Desulfovibrionaceae bacterium P1 6S / SsrS RNA". It matches the Rfam family "6S / SsrS RNA". From Rfam's summary of the family: E. coli 6S RNA was the first non coding RNA to be sequenced, but its function was unknown until recently. It consists of 184 nucleotides that fold into an extended hairpin structure with a large single-stranded internal bulge. The 6S RNA specifically associates with RNA polymerase holoenzyme containing the sigma70 specificity factor. The record is from Rfam by way of RNAcentral. Lineage: Bacteria; Pseudomonadati; Thermodesulfobacteriota; Desulfovibrionia; Desulfovibrionales; Desulfovibrionaceae.